RNAcentral lists this small nuclear RNA (138 nucleotides) under Rhinolophus ferrumequinum (greater horseshoe bat). RNAcentral's name for it is "U2 spliceosomal RNA (ENSRFEG00010008768.1)". It matches the Rfam family "U2 spliceosomal RNA". From Rfam's summary of the family: U2 is a small nuclear RNA (snRNA) component of the spliceosome (involved in pre-mRNA splicing). Lineage: Eukaryota; Metazoa; Chordata; Mammalia; Chiroptera; Rhinolophidae. The record is from Rfam by way of RNAcentral.
AUGGCUUCUUGGCCUUUUGGCUAAGAUCAAGUGUACACUUCUAUUCCAAACCUAAAAAUGCUUGAUAUUGACCAAUGUGAAAUGCUGACAUUUCACAAGUCGGUAUUCUCUUCACAGAUCAGAGAACUGAGACUCCCA